This is a non-coding RNA of Chelonoidis abingdonii (Abingdon island giant tortoise), 109 nucleotides long. NCBI's taxonomy places the organism in Eukaryota, Metazoa, Chordata, Testudines, Testudinidae. The record is from RefSeq and is a predicted model, not a curated record.
CUGCCAAUGAAGUGUCUGUUUCAGAGAGGUAGUCGUGUUAGACUGUAUCACCAAAAACAACGAGGAGUCCUUGUGGCACCUUAGAGACUAACAAGUUUAUUUGGGGAUC